Long non-coding RNA from Otolemur garnettii (small-eared galago), 769 nucleotides. RefSeq lists it as uncharacterized. Lineage: Eukaryota; Metazoa; Chordata; Mammalia; Primates; Galagidae. The record is from RefSeq and is a predicted model, not a curated record. The transcript has 2 exons.
AUAACCAAUGUGCUAUAGGCACCGAGCCGGGAGUGCUACUUUUGACAUCAUUUGUAAACUUACACAGAAAACAAUUGAUAGACUAAUGUCUUUGAAAGAAGGAGGAACCAGGAAUAAUUCAAAUCUAUAGUACCAGGGAGACAUAUUAUUUCAAAGCUGAGGAUUAGACUUCUAAAACUUAACUUUGGUUUUUGUUAAUAUUUUUUUUAUCCUUUUAGUCACUUUACACUUCCCUAUUCUUUGGACUGUUACCUGUCAAUAAUUUCUUCAUGGCAUUUGGGAAAGUGCAAAUGGAUUAUACACUUGGAAGGUUUGCUAGUCUAAAGUGAGAGUCCUUUUAUUUGUUUCAAGGGCAAAAGUCCUCUUUUUUUUCAAACAGAACAAAUGGAAUAGAUUUUCUAUAGUAAAUGAUGCUGAGAACUGUUCUAAUAAUUGAACAAAAACUAAUUCAACAUCAUGACAGUAUUACCUUGGAUGGAGUUGAUUUGCUAUUCAUUUGAGGUUUCUAGAGGGGAAGAUUCAGGAGAUGGAAAUGAAUGUAAAAUGUGAAGUUAUUGAAAACUCUAUUUCAGCAUUUCACUCUGAAGACCUAACAGUGCAGCUUUUUGCAAAGGCCAAGGUGAUGAUUUUGGUUAGAUGUGAAAUUCUGAGAGAAAGGGGUCCAGAAUGAGGGAGAGGCAGGAGUUUUGAGGCAAGGGGAUUGAACGCAUGAGACCAGAGGCAAUUGGAAGGGCCUCCCUGUCAGUAAAAGUCGUAGUUGGUUUGGAAA